Molecule: transfer RNA, 70 nt
Filed under: Acheta domesticus (house cricket)
Lineage: Eukaryota; Metazoa; Arthropoda; Insecta; Orthoptera; Gryllidae
Description: tRNA-Lys
Source: RNAcentral
CAUCAGAUGACUGAAAGUAAGUAAUGGUCUCUUAAACCACAUUAUAGUAAUUAACAACUACUUCUGGUGA